RNAcentral lists this ribosomal RNA (252 nucleotides) under uncultured bacterium. RNAcentral describes it as "partial 16S ribosomal RNA". It matches the Rfam family "Bacterial small subunit ribosomal RNA", at positions 524 to 776 of the family's 1533-position model. The record is from RNAcentral.
UACGAAGGGGGCUAGCGUUGCUCGGAAUCACUGGGCGUAAAGCGCACGUAGGCGGACUCUUAAGUCGGUGGUGAAAUCCUGGAGCUCAACUCCAGAACUGCCUUCGAUACUGGGAGUCUCGAGUCCGGGAGAGGUGAGUGGAACUGCGAGUGUAGAGGUGAAAUUCGUAGAUAUUCGCAGGAACACCAGUGGCGAAGGCGGCUUACUGGUCCAUAACUGACGCUGAGGUGCGAAAGCGUGGGAGCAAACAGG